UACAGAGGGGGCAAGCGUUGUUCGGAAUUACUGGGCGUAAAGGGCGCGUAGGCGGCCUGUUAAGUCGAACGUGAAAUCCCCGGGCUCAACCCGGGAACUGCGUCCGAUACUGGCAGGCUUGAAUCCGGGAGAGGGAUGCGGAAUUCCAGGUGUAGCGGUGAAAUGCGUAGAUAUCUGGGGGAACACCGGUGGCGAAGGCGGCAUCCUGGACCGGUAUUGACGCUGAGGCGCGAAAGCCAGGGGAGCAAACGGG
Molecule: ribosomal RNA, 253 nt
Filed under: uncultured bacterium
Lineage: Bacteria
Description: partial 16S ribosomal RNA
Rfam family: Bacterial small subunit ribosomal RNA
Source: RNAcentral